GAUCAUGGCUCAGGAUGAACGCUAGCUACAGGCUUAACACAUGCAAGUCGAGGGGCAGCGGGAAGUCAGCUUGCUGACUUUGCCGGCGACCGGCGCACGGGUGAGUAACGCGUAUGCAACCUGCCCGAUACCGGGGUAUAGCCCAUGGAAACGUGGAUUAACACCCCCAUAGUACUUUUAUCCUGCAUGGGAUGUGAGUUAAAUGUUCAAGGUAUCGGAUGGGCAUGCGUCCUA
This 234-nucleotide ribosomal RNA is filed under the name uncultured bacterium. RNAcentral's name for it is "partial 16S ribosomal RNA". It matches the Rfam family "Bacterial small subunit ribosomal RNA", at positions 15 to 240 of the family's 1533-position model. The record is from RNAcentral.